AAUCCGUCUAUAUACCGCCGUCGCCAGCUUACCCUAUGAAGGGCCAGUAGUGAGCUUAAUUAGCAUAGCCCAGAAUGACAGGUCGAGGUGUAGCUAACAAGGGGGGAAGAGAUGGGCUACAUUCCCUAAAGAAGGGAACACGAAAGAUGACCUGAAAUGCAAACUAGAAGGAGGAUUUAGCAGUAAGCAGAAACCAGAGAGUUCCGCUGAAGCAGGCCCUGAAGCGCGUACACACCGCCCGUCACUCUCCCUGAACUAAGAAAAAAAAAUAACUAAUCCAGACAUGGUGCCAAGGGAGACAAGUCGUAACAUGGUAAGUGUACCGGAAGGUGCACUUGGACAAAC
This 345-nucleotide ribosomal RNA is filed under the name Pictichromis paccagnellae (royal dottyback). RNAcentral describes it as "partial 12S ribosomal RNA". It matches the Rfam family "Bacterial small subunit ribosomal RNA", at positions 1032 to 1527 of the family's 1533-position model. The record is from RNAcentral. Lineage: Eukaryota; Metazoa; Chordata; Actinopteri; Pseudochromidae.